GGGCGAGUAGCAUAAUGGCUAAUGCACCUGUUUGUCACGCAGGUCAUCCGAGUUCGAUUCUCGGCUCGUCCA
This 72-nucleotide transfer RNA is filed under the name Nanobdellota archaeon. RNAcentral's name for it is "tRNA-Asp". It matches the Rfam family "tRNA". Rfam says of the family: Transfer RNA (tRNA) molecules are approximately 80 nucleotides in length. Their secondary structure includes four short double-helical elements and three loops (D, anti-codon, and T loops). The record is from RNAcentral. Lineage: Archaea; Nanobdellati; Nanobdellota.